GAACUUAACUGUCACAAACCCCCAGGGAGAUACACUAAUCCCUUCUAAAAUAUCGCUAGUAAAUGAUUGUCUAGCCUCUGAACGCCUCCAGAGACUGGGAACUCACUCCAUACUGAGCCAGCCUUAGCCACACUGAGGAUUGAGAAGUGUCAGGGCUGGUGGUGCAGGAGCCACCAGCUCUGGGAGAACGACUUAUUCCUGGAGUCCUGAACAAACUGUACUUAAGGAGAUGUCAAAGGGAGAUGGAAGGUCUCAGACCUCACCUCCCGCUGCUGUUGACACCAAGAAGGAUUUGACUCUGCCCAGCUUGUUUAAAAUACCAGAAGUUUCCCAACAGAUUCCCGAUCAGCAUGGCAUGGCGCACCACAGCUCGGAUUUCCAAGCUCGAGAUUUUGCCAGCCUUAGCCUCCCUGGUGGUUGGGAUUACAGACAUCACACCUCACCGGCAGCACAAUCAUAUCCAAAUGAAAACAUGUCUGAUCUUGACCUUCCUGUCAUUGAUCAAUAUGUCCUCUGUCCAGACUGCUUGAGAAUGAAGGCAGAGAGAUGGGGACUUAAUGGGAAGCAGGACACAAGAUAUCAAGGCCUUCCCCAUUUCAUACAGCCAACCAAAAAAAUGAUAAUUCUGGAUGCCCCAAAGCAUCUACGAUUUCCCAUCAUGGAUUUUAUGAGUGACAGGAUGAUAAGAUCAAAAUACAAGCCUACAGAAACCAGUGUCAAUCAGGACAUCGAAGCAGAAAAUGUUCAAUACAGACUGCCAAUGCGGGCCAUUUGGGGUGCCAAGAAGCCUUUACAGACACUAUAUACUGAUCUUUUAACAUCCUGCCAGAGUUCACGGCCUUCUAAAAAAGAAUGUUCUCCAGAGGAAAAGAAUAUAUGGGCAGAAUUCAAUAUCAGCAAGAGCCCCAAGCAUAGUAAAUUCCACUGAUUUUCUAUCAACUGCUGCCCUCUUCUCAUGUCUUCCUGCCCUCCUCCCAUGCCCAGUCUUGGCUAAGAAAGGAGGCUCUUUUGCAUUCCUUCCUGAUGAAGAUCUUUUACUCCUACUAUUAUGUCCACCACUUAUAUCCUAAUAAUAUAGUAGCUUAAUUUAUAGGAUUAUAAAUACAAUUGGUUAACAUAGAACAUUG
RNAcentral lists this long non-coding RNA (1127 nucleotides) under Sarcophilus harrisii (Tasmanian devil). RNAcentral's name for it is "lncRNA (ENSSHAG00000026800.1)". The record is from RNAcentral. Lineage: Eukaryota; Metazoa; Chordata; Mammalia; Dasyuromorphia; Dasyuridae.